AUUGUGAAUAACCGAAGCACCACGGAUCAAAAAACUAUUUACACUACUACAACAUCGAAAAUAUCAUGAUGAGUGAGUAGACAUCUAAGUGACUUCUCUUACUGAUCACACUCGGUAUCUUUAUUCUUUAAUAAAUACUUGCACUCUCACUCCAAUAUCUCCACACUAUAGACUCAAGACUCAUCUAUCCAUAAAGAAGUAAUUCAUACACCAACUUAUCUGAAUCGAUCACUGUCUCCAUGAUGAUCCC
RNAcentral lists this long non-coding RNA (250 nucleotides) under Elaeis guineensis (African oil palm). RNAcentral's name for it is "long non-coding RNA (EGUI_LNC009700)". The record is from RNAcentral. Lineage: Eukaryota; Viridiplantae; Streptophyta; Magnoliopsida; Arecales; Arecaceae.